Molecule: ribosomal RNA, 1419 nt
Filed under: Triticum aestivum (bread wheat)
Lineage: Eukaryota; Viridiplantae; Streptophyta; Magnoliopsida; Poales; Poaceae
Description: partial small subunit ribosomal RNA
Source: RNAcentral
AUGGGGAUAAAUUUCAAGGUCAAGUUAUACAGCACGGACAGGGCGGGAAGCAGCGGAGACGGCGGCGCCGGACCCACACCGCCGCCUGCGCCAGGGCUCGCGUCGUCGCCCUCCCUCGACCCCGCGCCGGUUUCCGCCUCGUCGCUCCCGCUUCAGCCGGCACGGCAGCCGCCGCUGACCCCCAUCGUCAAGUACACGAAUGAAGGACCGGAUGUUGAUGAUGAUUGGCCCGAGGACGAGGAUGAUGACUGGCCCGAGGACGAGGAUGAUGAUGAGGACGAGGAUCAAGGACUGGAUGACGAUGAUGAUUGGCUCGAAGACGAAGAUGAUGAGGGUUGGGAGGUGAUGCAAGAGGAUGAGGUUGAAUUACCAGAUGAGGAGAAAUUCUACAUUUCAUUGUUUAUGAGCGCUCAAAAGAAGAAUCUCCCGCAUGAUCUUGUUCGGCAUCACUCGGUGCCGCUCAACAAAAAUGAAUAUUUUUCUCUGUGGGAAAAUUGGAACCAGCUGCUGGAUGGCAAGAGAACAUACCUCCGACCACUGAAAGACUGCCGUAUUCUCAGUGUCAGUGGUGAUUUCCGGUGUCCGGAUGCUCGUCCAAGGACAUUAGGAUGCCAGGAACCACUCUUGGAUUUGGUUGAGGAUUAUCCAGAUAAUGACAUUUUCCAGGAAAUUAUCAAGGUUCUUUGUCAGCGCUAUUUGCACUUCAGACGAACUCGCGGAGAUGGCAACUAUUUCUACAGAGCUUUCUUUUUCUCCUACUUGGAAAAUCUUGGACAAAUGCAGGAUAGUCAAGCUGAAGUUACUCGUCUAAUGGAACAUGUGGCAGUGUCCAGAGAGAAUUUCUGUCGUCUGAAAUGGGACAAAGCAUACUUCUUAAAUCCUGAAGAAUACUUUUCAAGUGUUGUUUCUGAGUUGAAUCAUUUGGUCAAUUCUGUUGCAAAUGGUCUGAGUUCUGAUGAGUUGUACAAGAGAAGUCUAGAGGAGAUGAUGCCACUCAGGAUCAUUUCUUUGCUAAGAUUGCUGGCAGAGACUGAGAUCCGUACUCGAGAAGCUGAUUACAAAUCAUUUAUCCCUGGAAACAUGAACAUCCAUCAGUAUUGCUACAAGGAGGUGCGGCCCCUGGAUGUUAAACCAACGAUGUUGGCAAUGAGGGCUCUAACAUAUGCACUUGGCAUCCCGCUGCGACUCGAAAUUCUAGGCAGAGCCUUGAUGGCUGGAGAUUUGCAAGUAAAGCGCCUUGAUUUCUUCCCUCGAUCAGAGUCAGGGAAGGGUGCUUUCCAUAUGGUCCAAAGCUACUGGUCCUCAACCUCAACCCCUGAACUGCUGGAGCUGGGAAGUGGCAACCUGUUAUCAUCUGAUGGCACACCUUCGCUGACCUUGCUGUGUAGGUCUGAGGACUGCGACAUUCUUUAUCGCUAG